AAUGCUUUUAAUGUUAGCUCCACUUCCUAUGUGGGACUAUUUGCAAUGCAUUUAUUGCCAUUAACUCAAAAACCCAAUUUCUAUAUAGAUAAUAUAGGACAAUCUAAUAUGGCAUGGUUUAACCCAUGAAUCUUAAAAUUUCUUAGAGUUGUUGAGCACCAAAUAUUUUCCUGUUUUUAUUUGCCUUCAUUUUUUAUAUUCUUAAAAGUCUCUCAAGAAUAUGGGACCAUAUUAUGUGUUUUUUUUCCGCUCUUAUCAGGAUUGUAUAACUCACCUUAUA
This 280-nucleotide long non-coding RNA is filed under the name Lathyrus oleraceus (garden pea). Its description in RNAcentral is "Pisum sativum (pea) long non-coding RNA (PSAT_LNC004513)". Lineage: Eukaryota; Viridiplantae; Streptophyta; Magnoliopsida; Fabales; Fabaceae. The record is from RNAcentral.